This 468-nucleotide ribosomal RNA is filed under the name uncultured bacterium. Its description in RNAcentral is "partial 16S ribosomal RNA". It matches the Rfam family "Bacterial small subunit ribosomal RNA", at positions 28 to 507 of the family's 1533-position model. The record is from RNAcentral.
GACGAACGCUGGCGGCGUGCUUAACACAUGCAAGUCGAACGGAAAGGCCCUGCUUUUGUGGGGUGCUCGAGUGGCGAACGGGUGAGUAACACGUGAGUAACCUGCCCUUGACUUUGGGAUAACUUCAGGAAACUGGGGCUAAUACCGGAUAGGAGCUCCUGCUGCAUGGGGGGGGUUGGAAAGUUUCGGCGGUUGGGGAUGGACUCGCGGCUUAUCAGCUUGUUGGUGGGGUAGUGGCUUACCAAGGCUUUGACGGGUAGCCGGCAUGAGAGGGUGACCGGCCACAUUGGGACUGAGAUACGGCCCAGACUCCUACGGGAGGCAGCAGUGGGGAAUAUUGCACAAUGGGCGGAAGUCUGAUGCAGCAACGCUGCGUGCGGGAUGAAGGCCUUCGGGUUGUAAACCGCUGUCGCCUGUGACGAAGCGUGAGUGACGGUAAUGGGUAAAGAAGCACCGGCUAACUACGUG